CCUACGGGUGGCUGCAGUUUCGAAUCCUUCACAAUGGGCGAAAGCCUGAUGGUGCGACGCCGCGUGAGGGAUGAAGGUCUUCGGAUUGUAAACCUCUGUCACUGGGGAGAAAACGCUUUGAGUUAAUAGUUCAAAGCCUGAUUUAACCCGGAGAGGAAGCAGUGGCUAACUCUGUGCCAGCAGCCGCGGUAAUACAGAGACUGCAAGCGUUAUUCUGAAUCGCUGGGCGGAGAGGGUGCGUGUCAGGUGUGAAAUCCCGAGGCUUAACCUCGGAACUGCGUCUGAAACUACUCGACUAGAGUACUGGAGAGGGAAACGGAAUUCACGGUGUAGCAGUGAAAUGCGUAGAUAUCGUGAGGAACACCAGAGGCGAAGGCGGUUUCCUGGACAGUUACUGACGCUCAGGCACGAAAGCAUGGGGAGCAAAAGAGAUUAGAUACCCUAGUAGUC
This 450-nucleotide ribosomal RNA is filed under the name uncultured bacterium. RNAcentral's name for it is "partial 16S ribosomal RNA". It matches the Rfam family "Bacterial small subunit ribosomal RNA", at positions 338 to 795 of the family's 1533-position model. The record is from RNAcentral.